This 425-nucleotide ribosomal RNA is filed under the name uncultured bacterium. Its description in RNAcentral is "partial 16S ribosomal RNA". It matches the Rfam family "Bacterial small subunit ribosomal RNA", at positions 354 to 796 of the family's 1533-position model. The record is from RNAcentral.
GUGGGGAAUAUUGGACAAUGGGGGCAACCCUGAUCCAGCCAUGCCGCGUGAAUGAUGAAGGUCUUAGGAUUGUAAAAUUCUUUCACCGGGGACGAUAAUGACGGUACCCGGAGAAGAAGCUCCGGCUAACUUCGUGCCAGCAGCCGCGGUAAUACGAAGGGGGCUAGCGUUGCUCGGAAUUACUGGGCGUAAAGGGCGCGUAGGCGGACAGCUUAGUCAGAGGUGAAAGCCCAGGGCUCAACCUUGGAAUUGCCUUUGAUACUGGCUGUCUUGAGUUUGGGAGAGGUGAGUGGAACUCCGAGUGUAGAGGUGAAAUUCGUAGAUAUUCGGAAGAACACCAGUGGCGAAGGCGACUCACUGGCCCAAUACUGACGCUGAGGCGCGAAAGCGUGGGGAGCAAACAGGAUUAGAAACCCGGGUAGUCC